AAGAAGAAGAAGACGCAACACACCUGCUCGUCUUCACGCAGGUGUUUUUCAAUCAGCUGAUGACCGCUGAUUGCUUCCUCCUCCUCUUCCUCUUCUUAUUUAAUCUUCCUCCACCCAACAUUCCCGUGAUGUUACUUUGAAGAGAAGCUGCACGAGCCGUGGAACGAAAAAAAAAAGACGCGAAAAAGUGUUGCUGAACUACAGAAACUGUUCCGGGAGGAGAGAACUUUUGGCGGUAAUGCACCAACCGCCAUAAAACCUCAAAAAAGAAGGAGGGAACUAACAAAAGCAGAGAAAUAAAAGAAAAGAAAACUACCGCGGCGUGACGUCAGACGCCGAAAAGAUGGUCGGUGCAUCAGCUCCUGUUUAAAGACUUAGCGCAGCAAGGCGCUCCAGGAUGGCGUGUUCGACCUGGUCCAGAUUGGUGGCUCGUCCACAAUGGAACAACCUGCUUCCUGCUCACGGAGACCUGGUCGGACCGCCAUAUACAAAAAGUGUGAGGCUGUCAAAAAAAGAUUGAUCUUCAUGAAGAUCGUCAAAUAGUAAGGUGUGAUGAUUUAGUUCUGGGUGUCCGCUGUGUCCCCACUCUUUCUUGGCCGCUGUGCCUACAUCUCUCUGCAUUGUCCAACAUGGCCACGUUCUCUCUCUUCUCCUGCUUUCCAUCUGUCAAAUAGCUGAAGGUUGUACAUGGAGCAUUUGCCACAGGUUGGUUUUGUAUGUUCCUGACCACUUUAUCUGGUGGUCUGUAAAUCUGGUCCUUGUUGGUUAUGUUUUUGUGGAACUGCUGAGCGAGUGAUUUGAAAGAGUGAUGUGACUGAUGGAGUGUUUGAGAUUGUCUCUCUGAAUGAAUGUGUUGUGUGUGUGUGUGUGACUGAGAUGCCUGGAUUGAAUAGUUAAGAUGGUGUGAGAAUGUGAUUAUGUUCAGCAGUUCACAUUAAAGUAGAUCUGGUGUCUUGAAGGGCUUAGAUGCUUGAUAAGUUAUAAUGCACUAACAUUUCCUUUUUAGGUCUGUCUACAAAGGGUGAGUCCAUAUUUUCUUAUGUCUUCUCUGGGGGCGGGGCUACCUUCUUGCCCUCCAUGUGUGCUAGGGUUUGCAGAGUAGGGGAAUAAACAAAAGAAAACUUGUGUGUUGUGUUUUUUGAAAUGAAGGUACUUAGGUGUCGGCAACUGACUUCCUGGUCUGGCUGCUCACAGCUAACUACUGAGUGUACAUGCAAAGGUAAGAACACGCCUCCACAGAGAGGCGUGUUCUUGCCUUGCCUCUGUACUCUUAACCACUUUUUCUUUCCAACUGUUACGCAGGCCGCGGGCCAUCGCUGUUCCGGCCGCCGUGUCGCUCUGUCCUGGCCCUCCUCGUGCCUUUCCUCACUUCUAAAGGGAACAAACAAUAUCAACUUGGAACUGUUUUUGUUAGCACUAAACUAUAGUGAUGUUGGAGGACCAGAUCUUUAAUAUGAGGUUUAAUUAGAUGUUGGUGUACAGUUAAAGCUAGAUGGUAGGAAUAAAGUUAAUGCUGUGCCUUGUACGCUCUGUCACAAGGCUUAGACUUCUUGGCCGCUGUGCCUUUUCUUUUUUUUUUCUCUUUUCCAACGUGGCCAUUAAUCCACCGUUAGCCCUAGAACGUUAAAGUAGAUCCUGGUGAUCUACAAACAUAGUACCUGGCUUUAGAUGGCAGCCCUGCCAUAGCCUUAGUAUGGCCAUUACGUCCUUUAAUGCAAGUAGGCCAUGAUCGCUAACUGUGCCCGCGCCUUCGUGAUCUACUUGUGUUCUUGUCCGUGUGGCCUUGCGCGUAUAGUCGUGUUACAUAGACAAACAUGGGUGCCUUCCGCGUCCAUGCACAGUAAGUCAACUAACCUGUACUUUCCUUCUAGCAUCAGUCAAGAGGAGCAACGACAUCCCUGCAUGUCCAUCUUAAUUAGAUUGCGUUUUAGUUACAAUAACAUUUCAAAUGUUAAGUAGUUUUCUCUCUGUGUGUGUGUGUGUGUGUGUGUGUGUGUGUGUGUGUGUGUGUGUGUGUGUGUGUGUGUGUGUGUGUGUGUGUGUGUGUGUGUGUGUGUGUGUGUGUGUGUGUGUGUGUGUGUGUGUGUGUGUGUGUGUGUGUGUGUGUGUGUGUGUGUGUGUGUGUGUGUGUGUGUGUGUGUGUGUGUGUGUGACUACAAGCAAAUUCAAAUUAUUUCAAAAACAGGUCAUAUUUUGACCUUUCGGGUAAGUAUUAAAGGCCUUUGCCACAUGAUCUUUGUGGGUAAAUCAUGUCCACUCAAUUUAUAAAGUUAAUUUGCAUCUAACCAUUUACAAUGGCAUUACAAUAAUCUCUUUUUUUAUAGAGUGCAAAGGCCUUUAUUUACACACAGACAAAUGCCAAGACUGCUGUCAUGGCAUUUGUCCGUGUCUCUCUCUCGCUGUUCUGUGUGUCUGUCUGUCUGGUGUCUCUGUCUUUCUCUGGGUCUGGUCUCUGUCUUUCUCUGGGUCUGUCUCUCUUGCUGUCCAGUCUCCGUCUGUCUGUCUUUCUAUGUGUCUCUCUCUGUGUCUGUCUGUCUUGUGUGUCUGGUCUCUGUCUGUCUGUCCUGUGCGUUGGAUUGAGUAACUUUUUUUAGUCUUAACUUAAAUGGAUGAUUUUAAAGUUGAUUAGUUUGAGGCGUCUGAUUUCUGCAGGAUUUUCUGGUGCCUUACUUUGAAGUGGCUUUAAUUUAAAGAUUUAAUCUUGGUCUUGAAUCUCAGUUAUCAUAGUUGCAACUUGGACUGUUGACAAACGUGGAAGCUGAUGAAUCGUGGAGUAAAUGCAUCAAAGUUUACUGUAGCUUGUUUAAAGUUCUUUCAAAGUGCUGUAAAAACGUAGUAAUUGAUUAUGAUGAGCGAGACCAGGUCUUCCUUUAUUCUAAACUGCUAAUUGCUUUGUUAGAUAACUGGUUCCUGAUUUGAUUAUGAAGCUAAACUUUUGAUUUAUAUGCAAGUGGAGUCACAUUAGAUUGUAGGUGUUGUUCAGCCCAUGGAGAAUGUUAUGAUAUACUUUAAAUCCAUUGAAGUCUUAAACUUUACGCACUGCCAUCAGCCUUUGUAGUCGCUAACUGAAGUCGAUAUUCAAUAUUAAUGCUGACUUGUCUCACUCUGCCAAGUUUAUUUCCCUCUAAAGGAGUUGAACCUUUUUGUGUUCAUAGUCUUUUUGCGCGUCAUGUUGGGAGGCCUCCCAGCAGGGGAUUUCUAUCUUCCCCUGCAAAACUAUGCGUUACUCGUCUUAGGGAUGCAGGGCUAUCAUCUGCAUCGUUUCUUUCAAAAAUUAGAUUUGUAGGUUUCAGGAUUAGAGCGCGUUUCUUUGCUUUAGGAGGACACAAACCUGGCAGAGAGACAACUCGGAUUAUUUAAGUGAAAGUGUUCGAACUUUUUAUCUUUUGAUACGACGACUUGAAAUCAAACUUUUAUUCUGUGGGCUGAAUUCAGACAGUAAUCAGACAGAAUUUGGCUUCAUGUUAAAGACUAUUGUGCAAGUACCCUCUUGUAGCAGGAGUGAGCAGCUGCAGCUCUAUUUUUCGUUAUUUGAUUUGUUUCUUGGAUUGACUUGGUGUCUGGAGCUUUGUGGUUAACAGUGAUCAUGUAAGUGAUCUUUUGCCUGUUAUUUGCGAAGCUUGUUGAAAUGAUAGGACUUUAUGACUUUCCCAAAGUGGGAUUUUUGAUAGAUCAUAGGUUUAACACCUCACCAUACACUAGCUAUUUCAGCGACAACACGUGUCAAAUUUCACAAUUUAGGGAGCUUGUAGAGUCUUUAGGAAGAUGCUUAAUCCCAAUGUCUUGGUUGGUUGCAUGAGAAACUUCUAUCUCUUAGAUGUGUUGGCAAAGUUCCUCCUCUGAUUUUUGUAGACUUGCCCUAAAGUUUCUCUCUGCUUUAACUCUUGUUGAGCUUUGCAUUAAAUGAUUCCUCCAACUUGUCUCCAUAUCAAUUGUUUUCUCCCUGCAGACUUCCACCACCCACUGCUGCUGUUGCCUCUGCUAAAGGUAGCCGUAUCCUGAUUCACUGCGUCUUCAUGUGUUGGGUAAGAAGUGUCAUUAGACUACUAACAAUGUAAACACCUUUAAAUGCUUGAUCUAAUUUACCCAAAUGGUUCAUCAGUUUAGGACAAAAAGUCAUUGACUUUGACAUUGUUGGGGUCAGUAAUCUGACCUCUAAAUGUUUGGGAAACAUGCAAAAGAUCGCAAGCUCUCUGCAUGACCCAACAGCAUCCAUGUUUGAGUUAUUUCAUUGCUCAAUUUUUAAAUCAGUCAAGAUUUUAUGAGCUGGGUCUUCUUCACACAACAGAGAACAAGGUAAAUUGAGUCGACUCGUAACAUGGAAAGGCAUUUCGUCCUUCCCCUUCUUCUCUUUGUGUGAGGAAAUCUGGCCACGGAUCCUGACUGAGUGGCAUACCAUGACUGCAGUUUCCAAAAUCAGAUAAGGAUCCAUCUGAUUUUGUUACUCGGCCUGUCAUGAUAUGCUUUUAUCUUCCUCUGAAACAAAGGAUUGGAAUGGACAGGUUUGUAGUGUAGAUCACAUCACAUGUAGAUGUUGAAGCAUUUGUUUAAAUUGGAGUCAAGCAUUUUCAGGCGUCUGCUUUGUCAAUACUCUGGUGCCACGUCUUGCUAAACACACGAGAAGCUCUGAAUUGUGAAACUGCUGCCUCUUGCAGAUGUUACAACAGCAAUGGUUGUUGAAAGGCUGCAGGGAGAGAAAAGGAGAUCUGAGGACGGGAAAGUGGAAUUGAUUUCAUGCUUAGCAAAAUGAGGGUUUCAGCAGAGGACCUUUUUGUGGCGAGGCUACAGAAUCAGAAGGAACGUUUGUCUGGGCAACUGGGAGAUUUACAGUUUUUCAUGCAGACAACCAAGACAUCGGGGUUAGCAUCAUCCCAAAUGGCUGGUGAAGAUUGCUUGUAACUGUCAGUGUAGGACAGGAAAGGCAGUUAUAGGUCAGGGAGGGUAUCCAUCGGUGAGCUCUGACUGGAUGUGAGGACCUGUCACACUUGACCAGAGAUGAAGGCUGGAUCAGAGGACUCCAUGUUGGACACCACGACCUGGAGAAGUCCCGUCCUGGAUGGCUGCGGUGAUGACCUAGCCCAAGAUGAACCGACCUUUUCCACGGGGUGUCUUCAGAUGUUGGACCUUGCCAAACUGUGCACAUGCCUCAAUGGCUGCUCAGCACUGCCCGACAGGACAUGGUCACCGAGAUUUUUUUGAUUUUUAUUUUUUUUUAAAUGGACUCUAACCCCCCCUGUCCCCACUGACCCACAACCACACAUGACAAAACACUGCACAUGUGAUGCAUCACCACACUAAAAUACAGACACUGCUACUUUCAGCCUGUAAUGUCAGACAUUGAAAACUUGUAUUUAUUGCCUUCUUUAUAUCAAGUAAAACUUUUGUUCUUAA
Long non-coding RNA from Solea solea (common sole), 5391 nucleotides. RefSeq lists it as uncharacterized. Lineage: Eukaryota; Metazoa; Chordata; Actinopteri; Pleuronectiformes; Soleidae. The record is from RefSeq and is a predicted model, not a curated record. The transcript is spliced from 5 exons.